AUGAUGCGAUGAUGAUGACUGGAAACGUAGGAAUCAAGGAUAAAAAAAUAUGUGUCUGAAACUCUGAGGUCCCA
Small nucleolar RNA from Vulpes vulpes (red fox), 74 nucleotides. The record is from Ensembl. NCBI's taxonomy places the organism in Eukaryota, Metazoa, Chordata, Mammalia, Carnivora, Canidae.